Molecule: ribosomal RNA, 492 nt
Filed under: uncultured bacterium
Lineage: Bacteria
Description: partial 16S ribosomal RNA
Rfam family: Bacterial small subunit ribosomal RNA
Source: RNAcentral
AGUGAACGCUGGCGGUAGGCCUAACACAUGCAAGUCGAACGGCAGCACAGUAAGAUCUUGCUCUUACGGGUGGCGAGUGGCGGACGGGUGAGGAAUACAUCGGAAUCUACUUUUUCGUGGGGGAUAACGUAGGGAAACUUACGCUAAUACCGCAUACGACCUACGGGUGAAAGCAGUGGAUCUUCGGACCUUUCGCGAUUGAAUGAGCCGAUGUCGGAUUAGCUAGUUGGCGGGGUAAAGGCCCACCAAGGCGACGAUCCGUAGCUGGUCUGAGAGGAUGAUCAGCCACACUGGAACUGAGACACGGUCCAGACUCCUACGGGAGGCAGCAGUGGGGAAUAUUGGACAAUGGGCGAAAGCCUGAUCCAGCCAUACCGCGUGGGUGAAGAAGGCCUUCGGGUUGUAAAGCCCUUUUGUUGGGAAAGAAAAGCAGCAGGUUAAUACCCCGCUGUUCUGACGGUACCCAAAGAAUAAGCAACGGCUAACUUCGUG